Molecule: ribosomal RNA, 470 nt
Filed under: uncultured bacterium
Lineage: Bacteria
Description: partial 16S ribosomal RNA
Rfam family: Bacterial small subunit ribosomal RNA
Source: RNAcentral
UGGGGAAUUUUGGACAAUGGGCGCAAGCCUGAUCCAGCCAUGCCGCGUGCGGGAAGAAGGCCUUCGGGUUGUAAACCGCUUUUGUCAGGGAAGAAAUCUUCUGAGUUAAUACCUCGGGAGGAUGACGGUACCUGAAGAAUAAGCACCGGCUAACUACGUGCCAGCAGCCGCGGUAAUACGUAGGGUGCAAGCGUUAAUCGGAAUUACUGGGCGUAAAGCGUGCGCAGGCGGUUUUGUAAGACAGAGGUGAAAUCCCCGGGCUCAACCUGGGAACUGCCUUUGUGACUGCAAGGCUUGAGUGCGGCAGAGGGGGGCAUGGAAUUCCGCGUGUAGCAGUGAAAUUGCGUAGAUAUGCGGAGGAACACCGAUGGCGAAGGCAAUCCCCUGGGCCUGCACUGACGCUCAUGCACGAAAGCGUGGGGAGCAAACAGGAUUAGAUCCCUGGUAGUCCACGCCCUAAACGAUNUCAA